UUAGUGUCAUCAGUUCCAAUCUCAUUGGUUCAGAAGCGUUUUCUCCUACAAAAAAUAUGAGGAUUCAUGCUCUAACAACUUGAAAGCUGUCUCCUGAGGUGACAUCAGCAAGCUGGAAAAGCAAGAACCUCUGAAAAUUUUCUCCUCCAUAAAAGCAAUGAGAAAACUGGGGGGAAAAAUGAUCAAAUCAACUUUUGCAUAACUUUGGAAAUUAACUAAAGGAUUUCAGCACUUCACAAAGAGUUCAUUCAAGAAAAAGAUUGGAAUCACGAGCUAUUCUCCACUCUUCCUCAGGGAAAUCUGCACUCCAACAGGCUGACUUGUGUGGACUACAUCAUCUGAAUUCUCUCACCCUCUCACUUCCCGUUGGGUUCACCCAAUGGGAGGGACUAGGUAGAUAUCAGAGAAAGGAGGGUGGGCGGAGGGCGAGGGAGAUAAAAAGACUGCAAGAGAGAAAGAAAGAGAGAAUGUGUUUUGAUUGUGAAUACCUUCCUCUGCCUACAGUCCUAACUAUUAGGUGGUCCAUUUCUCACCACUCAGCUCUCAUCAGAUUCAGUACCGCUGCCGUGCUUUGACCCCUUCAGGCUCUGGAGUGGUAAUGACUUUCCACAGUUGCUGCCCUGAGAUGCCUCACCAUUCCUCAUUGGUCCUUAAUGCUGCCACACCUCUGUACGUGUUCCCUUCAACAAAAUCUCUCCACUCAUCUCUGUGAGAGAGCCUUCUGUUUUCUGCCUGGACCUUGACUGAUAAAAGUUCCAACUUUGCUUCCAUGGUAUUCAUAAAAGGAAAAAAUAUAGCUUGUAAACUCUACUGUGAUCAUCGUUACAAAGCUAUUAAUGAAGAGUUACUACUCUUUGAUCAUGUCAGUUCAAUUUAAAUUUCCUCUGAGUGGUUUUUCACAAGCCAGACCAAGCAAUGCUACGAUGAUAAAAAUAAAGAUAAGACAGAGUACCUGUCCCUCAAGGAGUUUAUUCAGCAGACGGUUUAUUAACACUUGAAAAAGUUCAACAAGGUUAUGCAUGACAGAAUGCAAAAAAGAGCCACUAAUAGACAGUAUAUAUAACUGAAAACAGGGAAGAUAUGAUUUGAGCUUGCAGGAAAGGCUCUGUUGAAGAGGUAGGACUUUAACUGGACCUUGGAGGAUAUAAAUAUUCUCCUGUAUGACUCCACCACAAAAUGUCUCCUGUCUGUUUCAUCACACAAAUAGUAUUUUUUUCCCACUUGGAUUUCUCCUCGAUAUUUUAGAGUCAUUUAUGUGCCACAUGAAGUAAUGCCUACUCAUGACAACUAAAUUGGUUUUCUUGCCUGACCUACCCUGUGCCAGGAUAUGCUUUGAGUGGCAAAAUGGUUCUUUUGCUCACCUGUUAGAUGCAUACUUGCCAACACUGCGCCAGCUGCGCAGGGAGGGUUACGUGAGGAGAGAUUCAGGUAACUUCAAUCAUAGAGGAAGAAUUUGCCAAAAGUCACCCCCAAAGACUCUAUGGGGCAAACAGUGGCCCAGCUUUAGAGUUAAAAUUUCAUUUAUACUCUCUCCCUUUCAUUUAAGAUUUCUUCUCAGAAACAACACCUACUUAAAAGGCAAAAUCAGGUUUAGAUUCAUGAAGACUAUCUUUAUGGAACUCAAACUAAUGACAAAUUUCCAUAACCUAGGAUGACAUGAUCACUAAAAAUAGUGGCCCUAUCAUUUUUACCUUGUGUCUGACCACGAAAAGAGAUGUAAAGUACAUUUGCAGCCAGAAUUCUCCAACCCAAAUAUGCUUGUUAAGUUUGUUUAUCCAGUCAUACUGUAUGCCACACAGCAGUGAACUAUUUAGAGGAGGUUUACUAGACACUUUUCUGUCUAGGAAUUUUUUCUUUCUUUUCGAUUUUCUGCUUCAUAUCACGCUGGGGAUGAUUUAAUGUGACUACAUUAAGUGUUUUCUGAACCGCUGCUAUUUCUAAAUAGUUCUGAUGUCUUUGGGGGCAUCCUUUCCUCAAAAGCCAGAUUUCCUUGAAAGGGAUUCUGGUUCAACUAAUUAAUUUAGCAUACUGAGCAUAUAAGCUAAUACAAACAAACCCAAUUAUUAUUUUGUCAAACAAUGGCCUAGGAACUCAGGCUGAAACAGGAAUAUGGCACACAGAUGGAGAUAUUUAUGGAAAGUACAUUCUGGUGGGGGAAGCCCUAAAAUUAAUAAAUAGCCAAAUAAUUAAAAGAGAAUAUACCAGAAAGUAAUGAUAGGCACAUAAAGAAUGACUGGGUGACAACUUUUUGGAAGGCCUUUUUCAGAUCUAUCUUCUAGAGAAUCUAGAAGAGCAUAGUUGAUACCAAGAGGUAGCAAAUCUCUAUGGUGUCCCCUUUCCCUCGUAGGGACUUUAGAAGGAAGUAAAAAGAAUGAAGAAUUAAACAAACAUCAAACAAAAAGGACACAGCAAAGAAAAGGAACAGGCUUGACUGGUAACAAUAAAAUACCAAGGAGCAAGACCAGCGGACAGGAACAACAGGACAAAGGAGUUGGGAGAAUAUGUGCCUACAGAAAGUGUGGGUGUCUUGAGCUGCCAGCUCUGUUUACAGAGUUUUUGGCCUGAGCUGGAAGUGAUCUUCGGUCAUGUAUUCCAACCCUCCUAUCUUACAGAUGGAGUGGCUGGCAUCUGAAGUCAUGAGA
Molecule: long non-coding RNA, 2642 nt
Organism: Ailuropoda melanoleuca (giant panda)
Lineage: Eukaryota; Metazoa; Chordata; Mammalia; Carnivora; Ursidae
Exons: 3
Source: RefSeq, a predicted model, not a curated record